This 253-nucleotide ribosomal RNA is filed under the name uncultured bacterium. Its description in RNAcentral is "partial 16S ribosomal RNA". It matches the Rfam family "Bacterial small subunit ribosomal RNA", at positions 524 to 776 of the family's 1533-position model. The record is from RNAcentral.
UACGAAGGGUGCAAGCGUUACUCGGAAUUACUGGGCGUAAAGCGUGCGUAGGCGGUUCGUUAAGUCUGUCGUGAAAGCCCUGGGCUCAACCUGGGAAUUGCGAUGGAUACUGGCGAGCUAGAGUACGGUAGAGGAUGGUGGAAUUCCCGGUGUAGCGGUGAAAUGCGUAGAGAUCGGGAGGAACACCCGUGGCGAAGGCGGCCAUCUGGACCAGUACUGACGCUGAGGAGCGAAAGCGUGGGGAGCGAACAGG